AUGCAAGAUUAUCGCCAUUAUGCACUCAAUUUGUUCUUCUUGCAACAAUGGCCUCAUGUUCGUGAUGGUUAUGAUCCGGUGCAGGCGCUUAAAUGGGUUCAUAAAAUGUUAUCCGUGCUAGAACUUUCGGUUGGCUGGACGAAGACACCGACGGGACAAUGCUGGAGACCACCUGAUCCAGGAUGGGUGACAAUCAAUAUCAAUGGUUUGGUUAAUGUUGAGGCCAUGCAUGGAGGAGCGAGAAGUGUAGCCCAAUCUCAUUUCGCGUUUCUCGAGGCUUGGAGCAAGCCUCUUCGGGGAGUCCUAGACUCAUUCAUCACUGAACUUUUGGCUCUUCAAGAGGGGGUGAUCUUUGCCCAACUUCAUGGUUACUCACAAGUGAUGGUGUAG
Molecule: ribosomal RNA, 390 nt
Filed under: Triticum aestivum (bread wheat)
Lineage: Eukaryota; Viridiplantae; Streptophyta; Magnoliopsida; Poales; Poaceae
Description: partial small subunit ribosomal RNA
Source: RNAcentral